This 931-nucleotide ribosomal RNA is filed under the name uncultured bacterium. RNAcentral describes it as "bacterial SSU rRNA". It matches the Rfam family "Bacterial small subunit ribosomal RNA", at positions 8 to 916 of the family's 1533-position model. The record is from RNAcentral.
AGAGUUUGAUCCUGGCUCAGAACGAACGCUGGCGGCGUGCUUAACACAUGCAAGUCGAACGCGAAAGGGACUUCGGUCCUGAGUAAAGUGGCGCACGGGUGAGUAACGCGUGGAUAAUCUACCCGACGAUCUGGGAUAACAUCUCGAAAGGGGUGCUAAUACCGGAUAAGACCACGGAGUCUAUGGGCUUCGCGGUAAAAGGUGGGGACCUUCGGGCCUACCGUCAUCGGAUGAGUCCGCGUACCAUUAGCUAGUUGGUGGGGUAAGAGCCUACCAAGGCGACGAUGGUUAGCUGGUCUGAGAGGAUGAUCAGCCACACUGGAACUGAGACACGGUCCAGACUCCUACGGGAGGCAGCAGUGGGGAAUUUUGCGCAAUGGGGGAAACCCUGACGCAGCAACGCCGCGUGAGUGAUGAAGGCCUUCGGGUCGUAAAGCUCUGUCAGAGGGGAAGAAAUGUAGUGGUGCUAAUAUCAUCAUUACUUGACGGUACCCUCAAAGGAAGCACCGGCUAACUCCGUGCCAGCAGCCGCGGUAAUACGGAGGGUGCGAGCGUUGUUCGGAAUUAUUGGGCGUAAAGCGCGUGUAGGCGGUUUGGUAAGUCUGAUGUGAAAGCCCUGGGCUCAACCUGGGAAGUGCAUUGGAAACUGUCAGACUUGAAUACGGGAGAGGGUAGUGGAAUUCCUAGUGUAGGAGUGAAAUCCGUAGAUAUUAGGAGGAACACCGGUGGCGAAGGCGGCUACCUGGACCGAUAUUGACGCUGAGACGCGAAAGCGUGGGGAGCAAACAGGAUUAGAUACCCUGGUAGUCCACGCCGUAAACGAUGAGUACUAGGUGUUGCGGGUAUUGACCCCUGCAGUGCCGCAGCUAACGCAUUAAGUACUCCGCCUGGGAAGUACGGCCGCAAGGCUAAAACUCAAAGGAAUUGACGG